This 1894-nucleotide long non-coding RNA is filed under the name Lynx pardinus (Iberian lynx). Lineage: Eukaryota; Metazoa; Chordata; Mammalia; Carnivora; Felidae. The record is from RNAcentral.
UUUCUGUCAUUCAUUCAGGUCUCAUCAUCAACAAAGUUACCUUGAUUCCACAAUUUCUAAGACAAGAACAUACGAAAAACUCAAGGUAAUGGCCUUCGAAAACUUGACAUAAUAAAUUUUUAACGGCCCACCCGUUAGAAAACGUUCCAUUUAUCACAUGACUUUCUCAGUUGGCCAUUAUAUUUAACACUUCAGUAGUAUCUGACACUCCAUCUAACAAGGUCAAAAGCUUCAUGAACAUUGUUUUAGAAGCUGCCUACGGAGACAAACCCUGUGAAACCCGAGGAUGCCACACCAACAACGGAAUGCAGCUCACUGUGACGUGGCCCACCGCUCUGCAAAGUCAAAAUCGCAGUUCACUUUACGCUGACAGAGCAUCUUUCCACGACUUUUCCCUCCCCCCCACGAGAACGGGGGGAGUGUCGGUUUCCCAAGGUGUCUGGGGCUACUUUCUUUAAAACGAGGAUUUAAUGUUUCCUGAAGGUCACCUUGGUACGCCCCUGGCUCAUGCCCCCCGGCUCCUCUGGACGGGAGCCUACGGUUUUGUGGCAUCAGCUCUGGCUCCUCAUCCGGUGACCUUCAGGCCCCUGUGGCUGGGCUGACCCUAGAACGGCCACAGCCCCUCACACCACGUAGGGCACAGUCCCUCCCACCGCCAAGCCGAAUUCGGAAGGGGGUGUCCCGGGAAGCCCCCCCCAACAAGCGCUGAUGGUGACACCGGCCAUGCCCGGGGGGCCCCCGAGUUCGGAAACGCUGAGCGAUGGCGCCACAUGGCCACUGAGAACUGGGCCCCGACGGCUCGGGCCCCGCGCCUGUUCAGACCUCAGCCCACACCGCACCCUGGGAGAACGUUCCAGAACCCUGGACUCUCCGGGAAGUCCCGAGUCGCCGAACAGACGGAAACGGGGGCUCGUUCACUGAGCGCCUGCUCGGAGGCUGGGCGAGCGCGGGGCCGGGCUUGCACGCGGGAGACCCUCGGAGCGCUGCGCCGCGGGGGCGCCCGCGCUCCACCCUCCGGCCGGACCCUCGGCUUCCAGGAGGCCCUCCGGCGGGGCGAGCAGGGACGGAGAGAGCCGCCCCCCCAGCCCACCUACUCCCCUCGGCCGCUUUUACCUCGCCCGACCCCACCGAAACCGCCGAGCUAAACUUAGAAACCGGCGCGGCGCGCGCUCACGUGCGCUCCGCCGCGGGCGGGGGGCGCGGCCCGGGUGAGUCACGGCCCCGCCCCCACUCGCCGAGGACGCGGUGACGUCAGCCGUUUCCCCGAAGGGUGACGUCAGCGCGCCUCGCGGAGGCCGCGAGGCUCCCGUAGAACGUUCACUGAGUUUCGAUGCCUUAAAGGGACCAGGCGUCGGAUCGUGAAAGAUCUGGGGCGAUGACUCCACUCACCCAACCGUGGGGUCAGAGCCCAUCUUCUAGCCCUUUGCACUGAGAAGUGUUGGCUGUUGAGAUGGUGAUGAAAAAAAAGGAGUGCAACUGAGCCUCGUUAAAGCUGCUGGAAGCCCCAGAACCUCCUCCUGGAAGUCCUCCUUGAUUAGUCAGAAUCUGAUCUUGACCCAAAGGUCAGGGAGUUUUCCAUGGCCCUCGACUGCCAACCCCUUCACUUACAAUCCCUCCUCAUAGUCUUCUAUGCCUGCUGGCAGAGAAAAGCUGUGGUUUGAGUGUUUAUUUAAUAAUCCAUCAGUUGGGCCAGGUUGGCCCAUUUAUCACUGUUUUCGACUGCGUCCAAACCUUUGUUGGUCACGUGGCCUGUAACAUGUUAUUUACCUCUGGGUGUGAAAUUGGUGGACCGAUCUCCAAACCGUCCUCCGACGCUACUGUUGCCGUGGAAGCUUCUGGGACAAGAACCCUGUACAGCACUUGGUCAUUCAACACUAUCACAGCCUCCCAGGGA